This 474-nucleotide ribosomal RNA is filed under the name uncultured bacterium. Its description in RNAcentral is "bacterial SSU rRNA". It matches the Rfam family "Bacterial small subunit ribosomal RNA", at positions 28 to 507 of the family's 1533-position model. The record is from RNAcentral.
GACGAACGCUGGCGGCGUGCCUAACACAUGCAAGUCGAGCGGGGUUGAGGCGAGAGGUAACUCGAGCUUCUACCUAGCGGCGGACGGGUGAGUAACGCGUGGGCAACCUGCCUCAAGGUUUGGGAUAACAGCCCGAAAGGGCUGCUAAUACCGGAUAUGCCUAUGGCCUCGCAUGGGGCUAUGAGCAAAGGGGAAACCCGCCUUGAGAUGGGCCCGCGUCCCAUCAGCUAGUUGGUGAGGUAACAGCUCACCAAGGCGACGACGGGUAGCCGGCCUGAGAGGGUGACCGGCCACACUGGGACUGAGACACGGCCCAGACUCCUACGGGGGGCAGCAGUGGGGGAUCUUGCACAAUGGGCGAAAGCCUGAUGCAGCGACGCCGCGUGAGCGAAGAAGGCCUUCGGUUGUAAAGCUCUGUCUGGAGGGACGAAGAAAGUGACGGUACCUCCGGAGGAAGCCACGGCUAACUACGUG